This 76-nucleotide transfer RNA is filed under the name Bryobacterales bacterium. RNAcentral describes it as "tRNA-His". It matches the Rfam family "tRNA". From Rfam's summary of the family: Transfer RNA (tRNA) molecules are approximately 80 nucleotides in length. Their secondary structure includes four short double-helical elements and three loops (D, anti-codon, and T loops). The record is from RNAcentral. Lineage: Bacteria; Pseudomonadati; Acidobacteriota; Terriglobia; Bryobacterales.
GUGCCCAUAGCUCAGCUGGUAGAGCGCUGGAUUGUGGUUCCAGUGGCCGUGGGUUCAAAUCCCACUGGGCACCCCA